CUACGGGCGGCAGCAGUGAGGAAUAUUGGUCAAUGGGCGCGAGCCUGAACCAGCCAUCCCGCGUGCAGGAUGACGGCCCCAUGGGUUGUAAACUGCUUUUCUAUGCCAAGAAACCUGAUUACGUGUAAUCAGUUGCCGGUAGCAUAGGAAUAAGCAUCGGCUAACUCCGUGCCAGCAGCCGCGGUAAUACGGAGGAUGCAAGCGUUAUCCGGAUUCAUUGGGUUUAAAGGGUGCGCAGGUGGGCUUGUAAGUCAGUGGUGAAAUGCUGCCGCUUAACGGUAGAACUGUCAUUGAUACUGCGAGUCUUGAGUAUGGUUGAGGUAGGCGGAAUGUGUUGUGUAGCGGUGAAAUGCAUAGAUAUGACACAGAACGCCAAUUGCGAAGGCAGCUUACUAAGCCAUUACUGACGCUGAGGCACGAAAGCGUGGGGAGCGAACAGGAUUAGAUACCCGUGUAGUC
RNAcentral lists this ribosomal RNA (459 nucleotides) under uncultured bacterium. RNAcentral describes it as "partial 16S ribosomal RNA". It matches the Rfam family "Bacterial small subunit ribosomal RNA", at positions 339 to 795 of the family's 1533-position model. The record is from RNAcentral.